This 27-nucleotide non-coding RNA is filed under the name Cricetulus griseus (Chinese hamster). Lineage: Eukaryota; Metazoa; Chordata; Mammalia; Rodentia; Cricetidae. The record is from RNAcentral.
CUAUAGCUGUAUUAAAAUAGAGAAAAA